Molecule: ribosomal RNA, 889 nt
Filed under: Stegonsporium pyriforme
Lineage: Eukaryota; Fungi; Ascomycota; Sordariomycetes; Diaporthales; Stilbosporaceae
Description: partial 28S ribosomal RNA
Rfam family: Eukaryotic large subunit ribosomal RNA
Source: RNAcentral
AUAUCAAUAAGCGGAGGAAAAGAAACCAACAGGGAUUGCCCUAGUAACGGCGAGUGAAGCGGCAACAGCUCAAAUUUGAAAUCUGGCCUCGGCCCGAGUUGUAAUUUGCAGAGGAUGCUUUUGGCGCGGUGCCUUCCGAGUUCCCUGGAACGGGACGCCACAGAGGGUGAGAGCCCCGUAUGGUUGGACACCAAGCCUGUGUAAAGCUCCUUCGACGAGUCGAGUAGUUUGGGAAUGCUGCUCAAAAUGGGAGGUAAAUCUCUUCUAAAGCUAAAUACCGGCCAGAGACCGAUAGCGCACAAGUAGAGUGAUCGAAAGAUGAAAAGCACCUUGAAAAGGGGGUUAAACAGUACGUGAAAUUGUUGAAAGGGAAGCGCUUGUGACCAGACUUGCGCCUGGCGGCUCAUCCGGGGUUCUCUCCGGUGCACUCCGCCAGGCUCAGGCCAGCAUCGGUUCUCGCGGGGGGAUAAGAUCGGCGGGAACGUAGCACCCUCCGGGGUGUGUUAUAGCCCGUCGAACGAUACCCUCGCGGGGACCGAGGUUCGCGCUCCGCAAGGAUGCUGGCGUAAUGGUCAUCAGCGACCCGUCUUGAAACACGGACCAAGGAGUCGUCCAUUAUAGCGAGCGUUUGGGUGUAAAACCCGCACGCGUAAUGAAAGUGAAAUUAGGUGAGAGCUUCGGCGCAUCAUCGACCGAUCCUGAUGUUCUCGGAAGGAUUUGAGUAAGAGUUAUAACGGACGGACCCGAAAGACAGUGAACUAUGCUUGUAUAGGGUGAAGCCAGAGGAAACUCUGGUGGAGGCUCGCAGCGGUUCUGACGUGCAAAUCGAUCGUCAAAUAUGAGCAUGGGGGCGAAAGACUAAUCGAACUGUCUAGUAGCUGGUUACCGC